CAGCCUACGGGACGCAGCAGUGGGGAAUAUUGCACAAUGGGGGAAACCCUGAUGCAGCGACGCCGCGUGAGUGAAGAAGUAUUUCGGUAUGUAAAGCUCUAUCAGCAGGGAAGAAGAAGGACGGUACCUGAGUAAGAAGCCCCGGCUAACUACGUGCCAGCAGCCGCGGUAAUACGUAGGGGGCAAGCGUUAUCCGGAUUUACUGGGUGUAAAGGGAGCGUAGACGGCGAAGAAAGUCUGAAGUGAAAGCCCGC
RNAcentral lists this ribosomal RNA (254 nucleotides) under uncultured bacterium. Its description in RNAcentral is "partial 16S ribosomal RNA". It matches the Rfam family "Bacterial small subunit ribosomal RNA", at positions 334 to 605 of the family's 1533-position model. The record is from RNAcentral.